This 88-nucleotide ribosomal RNA is filed under the name Exiguobacterium chiriqhucha. RNAcentral also lists the same sequence under 2 other names. The record is from RNAcentral. Lineage: Bacteria; Bacillati; Bacillota; Bacilli; Caryophanales.
CCGUUCCCAUGCCGAACACGGAAGUUAAGCGCUUCAGCGCCGAAAGUAGUUGGGGGUCUCCCCCUGUGAGGAUAGGACGUUGCCAGGC